Molecule: transfer RNA, 65 nt
Filed under: Schoutedenia ralumensis
Lineage: Eukaryota; Metazoa; Arthropoda; Insecta; Hemiptera; Aphididae
Description: tRNA-Asp
Source: RNAcentral
AAGAGAUUAGUUAAAUAAAUAACAUUAAUUUGUCAAAUUAAAAUUAUUCAUAAUAAUAUCUCUUA